GACGCUAUAGCCAAGGGGUUACGGCGACGGAUUAGAAAUCUGUUCCUUUCUGAGGGCGUAGGUUCGAAUCCUGCUGGUGUCG
Molecule: transfer RNA, 82 nt
Filed under: Flammulina velutipes KACC42780
Lineage: Eukaryota; Fungi; Basidiomycota; Agaricomycetes; Agaricales; Physalacriaceae
Description: tRNA-Ser (AGA) (tRNA-Ser-AGA-2-1)
Rfam family: tRNA
About the family: Transfer RNA (tRNA) molecules are approximately 80 nucleotides in length.
Source: RNAcentral